RNAcentral lists this ribosomal RNA (422 nucleotides) under uncultured bacterium. RNAcentral's name for it is "bacterial SSU rRNA". It matches the Rfam family "Bacterial small subunit ribosomal RNA", at positions 355 to 774 of the family's 1533-position model. The record is from RNAcentral.
UAAGGAAUAUUGGACAAUGGAGGCAACUCUGAUCCAGCCAUGCCGCGUGAAGGAAUAAGGCCCUAUGGGUUGUAAACUUCUUUUAGACGGGACAAAACCCCUUUACGUGUAAAGGGUUGAUGGUACUGUCAGAAUAAGCAUCGGCUAACUUCGUGCCAGCAGCCGCGGUAAUACGAAGGAUGCAAGUGUUAUCCGGAAUUAUUGGGUUUAAAGGGUGCGUAGGCGGACUAAUAAGUCAGUGGUGAAAGCCUGCAGCUUAACUGCAGAAUUGCCAUUGAUACUGUUAGUCUUGAGUACAGUUGAGNUAGGCGGAAUGUGUCAUGUAGCGGUGAAAUGCUUAGAUAUGACACAGAACACCGAUUGCGAAGGCAGCUUGCUAAGCUGUAACUGACGCUGAGGCACGAAAGCGUGGGGAGCAAACA